GGAGCUGCGGGGUUACCAUGGGAACCGAACCGCCGCGCCUCGCCCAGGACAGUUACACUUAGAGGCCUUCAAAAGAGGGAGAAUGCCCUCCCGAUAAGAACCCAUGCAAAGAGCUGUGCCAGGGCGACGAAUUGUGUCCGGCUGAACAGAAGUGCUGCACCACAGGCUGUGGUCGGAUCUGCCGAGACAUUCCUAAGGGGAGGAAAAGAGAUUGCCCUAGGGUUAUUCGGAAACAAUCCUGUUUGAAAAGGUGCAUCACUGAUGAGACAUGUCCAGGUGUAAAGAAAUGCUGCACGCUUGGCUGCAACAAGAGCUGUGUAGUCCCAAUCUCUAAACAGAAGCUGGGGCGGGGCGGUGAUUGUCCAAAAGUUCUGGUGGGCCUGUGCAUUGUUGGCUGUGUGAUGGAUGAGAAUUGUCAAGCUGGAGAAAAAUGUUGCAAGUCAGGCUGUGGCCGCUUCUGUGUCCCACCAGUACUGCCCCCAAAACUGACCAUGAACCCCAACUGGACUGUGAGGUCUGAUUCCGAAUUAGAGAUCCCGGUGCCCUAGCUGUGCUGAUUUGUCUGGAGCUUCUUUGGUAAUUCUGGAAGCUUUUCCUGGCAGUCAAGAGAGGGUGACAUCCUGGGGCUUGUGACAUUUCCAGGGGCACUCAUGGCCCUCUCUGCGCUGCUUCUCCUCCUGCCGCUGACCAGAGCAUGGGAAAUAGCCCUGGAUUGGGCAGUGGGUGUGUGGUGCUUCUCUUUCCCAAUAAAGGCUGGUGCUGA
Molecule: small RNA, 763 nt
Filed under: Pan troglodytes (chimpanzee)
Lineage: Eukaryota; Metazoa; Chordata; Mammalia; Primates; Hominidae
Description: processed transcript
Source: RNAcentral